GAUGAACGCUGGCGGUAUGCCUUACACAUGCAAGUCGUACGAGAGUUUUUAACUCAAGUGGCGGACGGGUGAGUAACACGUAAGAAUUUGCCUCUAGGAGGGGGAUAACAACUGGAAACGGUUGCUAAUACCCCAUAUGCUUUCGAGUGAAAUGGAUUUCCGCCUAGAGAGAAGCUUGCGGCUGAUUAGCUUGUUGGUGAGGUAAUGGCUCACCAAGGCGACGAUCAGUAUCUGGUUUGAGAGGACGAUCAGACACACUGGAACUGAGACACGGUCCAGACUCCUACGGGAGGCAGCAGUGGGAAUUUUCCGCAAUGGGCGAAAGCCUGACGGAGCAAUACCGCGUGAGGGAUGACGGCCUAUGGGUUGUAAACCUCUUUUUCAGGGAGGAAUCAAUGACGUGUACCUGAGAAUAAGCAAUCGGCUAACUCCGUGCCAGCGCCGC
This 445-nucleotide ribosomal RNA is filed under the name uncultured bacterium. RNAcentral's name for it is "bacterial SSU rRNA". It matches the Rfam family "Bacterial small subunit ribosomal RNA", at positions 28 to 518 of the family's 1533-position model. The record is from RNAcentral.